UUAACGGCCGCGGUAUCCUGACCGUGCGAAGGUAGCGUAAUCAUUUGUCUUUUAAAUAGAGACCUGUAUGAAUGGCAUAACGAGGGUUUAACUGUCUCCUUCCCCUAGUCAAUGAAAUUGAUCUGCCCGUGCAGAAGCGGACAUAAACACAUAAGACGAGAAGACCCUAUGGAGCUUUAGACAAAAGAUCAAACAUGUAAAGAAACCAAACCAACCAAAAGGAACACGAAGGCCACAAAACCCAACGUAAACUGAUCUAAAUGUCUUCGGUUGGGGCGACCAUGGGGGAAAGAAAAGCCCCCACGAGGAACAGGGACAACCCCUAAACUAAGAGAGACACCUCUAAGCAACAGAAAAUCUGACCAAAAUGACCCAGGAUACUAAUCCUGAUCAACGAACCAAGUUACCCUAGGGAUAACAGCGCAAUCCUUUCCCAGAGUCCAUAUC
This 447-nucleotide ribosomal RNA is filed under the name Anguilla anguilla (European eel). Its description in RNAcentral is "partial large subunit ribosomal RNA". It matches the Rfam family "Bacterial large subunit ribosomal RNA", at positions 1924 to 2506 of the family's 2925-position model. The record is from RNAcentral. Lineage: Eukaryota; Metazoa; Chordata; Actinopteri; Anguilliformes; Anguillidae.